Molecule: long non-coding RNA, 359 nt
Organism: Photinus pyralis (common eastern firefly)
Lineage: Eukaryota; Metazoa; Arthropoda; Insecta; Coleoptera; Lampyridae
Exons: 3
Source: RefSeq, a predicted model, not a curated record
AUAGGCUAAUGGUUUUCUUAUGGUUUAUUAAAAGAAGAAUAUCCAAUUAUCCAAAUGAUUUCUAAAAAAAGUGAAAGUAACAAUUUACGUUGUUGUGUAGUUGAAUUCUAAUGGAAUAUGUACUUUACCUUUCCCUUUAUACCGAAUCUACAAUUAAACUCUACCAUCCUAUUCAACCGGCUGUCCUCAACCGAGUCCUCUUCUGCACACUGAAAUACCAUCGGCAUUUUAGUUAAAAGAUUCAACUUUAUAUGCACAUUACGUGUUCAAAGCCUUUGAUGUCAACUGCAACGGCGCAAUUAGUUUUAGGGACUUACUAGUAACAUUAUCAACACUGCUCCGCGGAUCUGUGUAUGAAC